RNAcentral lists this ribosomal RNA (157 nucleotides) under uncultured Lactobacillus sp. RNAcentral's name for it is "partial 16S ribosomal RNA". It matches the Rfam family "Bacterial small subunit ribosomal RNA", at positions 334 to 484 of the family's 1533-position model. The record is from RNAcentral. Lineage: Bacteria; Bacillati; Bacillota; Bacilli; Lactobacillales; Lactobacillaceae.
UACUCCUACGGGAGGCAGCAGUAGGGAAUCUUCCACAAUGGACGCAAGUCUGAUGGAGCAACGCCGCGUGAGUGAAGAAGGUUUUCGGAUCGUAAAGCUCUGUUGUUGGUGAAGAAGGACAAGGGUAGUAACUGAUUCUUAUUGACGGUAAUCAACC